CUGGUCGUUGAUGAGUCUAAAGUUUCUCAUAUGAGUUUAAUCGACCAUGAGAUAAGUUUACAUGCACUACCAUCUGAGACCAA
Hyla sarda is the source of this 83-nucleotide small nucleolar RNA. The record is from RefSeq and is a predicted model, not a curated record. NCBI's taxonomy places the organism in Eukaryota, Metazoa, Chordata, Amphibia, Anura, Hylidae.